This 254-nucleotide ribosomal RNA is filed under the name uncultured prokaryote. RNAcentral describes it as "partial 16S ribosomal RNA". It matches the Rfam family "Bacterial small subunit ribosomal RNA", at positions 524 to 776 of the family's 1533-position model. The record is from RNAcentral.
UACAGAGGUGGCAAGCGUUGUUCGGAAUUAUUGGGCGUAAAGAGCACGUAGGUGGGUUUGUAAGUCAGAUGUGAAAGCCUUCUGUUCAACGGAAGAAUUGCAUCUGAAACUGCGAGUCUUGAGUGUAGGAGGGGAGAAUGGAACUUCUGGUGGAGCGGUGAAAUGCGUAGAUAUCAGAAGGAACGCCGGCGGCGAAAGCGAUUCUCUGGCCUAUUACUGACACUCAGUGUGCGAAAGCUAGGGGAGCAAACGGG